GAUGAACGCUGGCGGCGUGCCUAAUACAUGCAAGUCGAGCGAACAGACGAUGAGCUUGCUCCUCUGACGUUAGCGGCGGACGGGUGAGUAACACGUGGAUAACCUACCUAUAAGACUGGGAUAACUUCGGGAAACCGGAUCUAAUACCGGAUAAUAUAUUGAACCGCAUGGUUCAAUAGUGAAAGACGGUUUUGCUGUCACUUAUAGAUGGAUCCGCGCCGCAUUAGCUAGUUGGUAAGGUAACGGCUUACCAAGGCAACGAUGCGUAGCCGACCUGAGAGGGGGAUCGGCCACAAUGGAACUGAGACACGGUCCAGACUCCGACGGGAGGCAGAAGUAGGGAAUCUUCCGAAAUGGGCGAAAGCCUGACGGAGCAACGCCGGGUGAGUGAUGAAGGUCUGCGGAUCGUAAAACUCUGUUAUUAGGGAAGAACAAAUGUGUAAGUAACGAUGCACGUCUUGACGGUACCUAAACAGAAAGCCACGGCUAACUACGU
Molecule: ribosomal RNA, 496 nt
Filed under: uncultured bacterium
Lineage: Bacteria
Description: partial 16S ribosomal RNA
Rfam family: Bacterial small subunit ribosomal RNA
Source: RNAcentral